Oncorhynchus kisutch (coho salmon) is the source of this 195-nucleotide long non-coding RNA. RefSeq lists it as uncharacterized. NCBI's taxonomy places the organism in Eukaryota, Metazoa, Chordata, Actinopteri, Salmoniformes, Salmonidae. The record is from RefSeq and is a predicted model, not a curated record. The transcript is spliced from 3 exons.
CCGGCUUAGUCCUGAGGGCAUCCCCUACUGUGCCACCAAAGUGCAGUCCAUCACUUGGAUCCAGCGUGUGGCUGGCAGGGUGACCCACUAUGCGUCUCACCUCCGCCACGAGACGUCUGUGGACGUGACGCUUGGCUGCUACCAGCAGACUGAUGUCUCAGUGGUGUACGCCACUCUCCACAUGGGGCUGGACGG